Molecule: ribosomal RNA, 460 nt
Filed under: uncultured bacterium
Lineage: Bacteria
Description: partial 16S ribosomal RNA
Rfam family: Bacterial small subunit ribosomal RNA
Source: RNAcentral
CCUACGGGGUGCAGCAGUGAGGAAUAUUGGUCAAUGGACGAGAGUCUGAACCAGCCAAGUAGCGUGAAGGAUGACUGCCCUAUGGGUUGUAAACUUCUUUUAUAUGGGAAUAAAAUGUUCCACGUGUGGGAUUUUGUAUGUACCAUAUGAAUAAGGAUCGGCUAACUCAGUGCCAGCAGCCGCGGUAAUACGGAGGAUCCGAGCGUUAUGCGGAUUUAGUGGGUUUAAAGGGAGCGUAGGUGGAUUGUUAAGUCAGUUGUGAAAGUUUGCGGCUCAACCGUAAAAUUGCAGUUGAAACUGGCAGUCUUGAGUAUAGUAGAGGUGGGUGGAAUUCGUGGUGUAGCGGUGAAAUGCUUAGAUAUCACGAAGAACUCCGAUUGCGAAGGCAGUUCACUGGACUGCAACUGACACUGAGGAUCGAAAGUGUGGGUAUCAAACAGGAUUAGAUACCCUGGUAGUC